This 386-nucleotide ribosomal RNA is filed under the name uncultured prokaryote. Its description in RNAcentral is "bacterial SSU rRNA". It matches the Rfam family "Archaeal small subunit ribosomal RNA", at positions 339 to 725 of the family's 1478-position model. The record is from RNAcentral.
GCGCGAAAACUUUACAAUGCUGGCAACAGCGACAAGGGAACCUCGAGUGCCAGGUUACGAAUCUGGCUGUCGAGAUGCCUAAAAAGCAUUUCAUAGCAAGGGCCGGGCAAGACCGGUGCCAGCCGCCGCGGUAACACCGGCGGCUCGAGUGGUAACCGUUAUUAUUGGGUCUAAAGGGUCUGUAGCCGGCCGGAUAAGUCUCUUGAGAAAUCUGGCAGCUUAACUGUCAGGCUUUCAGGAGAUACUGUCUGGCUCGAGGCCGGGAGAGGUGAGAGGUACUUCAGGGGUAGGGGUGAAAUCUUGUAAUCCUUGAAGGACCACCAGUGGCGAAGGCGUCUCACCAGAACGGACCUGACGGCAAGGGACGAAAGCUAGGGGCACGAACC